Molecule: non-coding RNA, 72 nt
Organism: Microbotryomycetes sp. JL221
Lineage: Eukaryota; Fungi; Basidiomycota; Microbotryomycetes
Source: the annotation of a GenBank genome assembly
GUCUUCAGGGCUAGACGGUGCAGCGAAGUACUGUUAAUACUUAGAUCACUGGUUCGACUCCAGUUGGAGACU